Lipomyces chichibuensis is the source of this 74-nucleotide non-coding RNA. The record is from the annotation of a GenBank genome assembly. Lineage: Eukaryota; Fungi; Ascomycota; Lipomycetes; Lipomycetales; Lipomycetaceae.
GGUCUUAUGGCCCAGUUGGUUAAGGCAUCGUGCUAAUAACGCGAGGAUCCGCGGUUCGAUCCCGCGUAAGACCA